RNAcentral lists this long non-coding RNA (366 nucleotides) under Gossypium raimondii (Peruvian cotton). Its description in RNAcentral is "long non-coding RNA (GRAI_LNC009450)". Lineage: Eukaryota; Viridiplantae; Streptophyta; Magnoliopsida; Malvales; Malvaceae. The record is from RNAcentral.
GGGAAAAGAUGAAGAAAGACAACGAAAAUGGAAGGGGAAUUCAAAGGAAAUUCAGCAGCAAGGAUUUAUUAUUUAGAAAAAAAGAGGAAAACCAAAAAUUGAGAGUGGGGGAGAAAAGAGAAAACAUUAGAAAGGUGGAAAAGAGUCCGAAAUUUGAAAAAAAAAACUAAACAAAAAGAUAAUGCCUAAAAAUCUUGUAACUCAUCUCCUUAAUUCUCUCCCUAACCUCCCCCAACAACUCCACUACUCGAAAUUUCAAUUUGACUAAGACUCCACCAUGCCACACGCCCAAGCAACAAAAAAUAAUUCCCUUGCUCGCACAAGGACUUGAACUCCAGACCUCCCACCCGCCAACAUACACCUUAG